Molecule: microRNA, 22 nt
Filed under: Octopus vulgaris (common octopus)
Lineage: Eukaryota; Metazoa; Mollusca; Cephalopoda; Octopoda; Octopodidae
Also listed under: 1 other name
Description: Ovu-Mir-12559-P1_3p (mature (co-guide))
Source: RNAcentral
ACCCAAUCAGUCGUCCAACAUC